Molecule: long non-coding RNA, 271 nt
Filed under: Salvia miltiorrhiza (redroot sage)
Lineage: Eukaryota; Viridiplantae; Streptophyta; Magnoliopsida; Lamiales; Lamiaceae
Description: long non-coding RNA (SMIL_LNC011916)
Source: RNAcentral
CGAUGGUUAGGUCAGAGUUCUUGAGAUGAUCUCUUCCGCUAUUUCGACUUUUUUUGUUGUUUCUUGCGUUUUUCAUACACGGGUAUUCUUUUUCUUCUUCAAGAUUUUCCCUCGCGGGUUUUGCUUGAAGAGGUUUUAAUGAGGUUCGGUCCUUAGUCUGUUUUUUGUGCUUUAAAGAGUUCUUUUAGGUUUUUCUUUUUUCUUUUAAUAAUAGCUCUAUUUAAUAAAUUAAAAAUAUAUACAAAAAAGUGAAAUAAUGAGUAUAACUUUC